GGGAUUGUGGCUCAGUGGUAGAGCACUUACCUAGCAUGCAUGAGACACUGGAUCCAAUCCCC
RNAcentral lists this transfer RNA (62 nucleotides) under Ictidomys tridecemlineatus (thirteen-lined ground squirrel). RNAcentral's name for it is "Spermophilus tridecemlineatus (thirteen-lined ground squirrel) tRNA". It matches the Rfam family "tRNA". From Rfam's summary of the family: Transfer RNA (tRNA) molecules are approximately 80 nucleotides in length. Their secondary structure includes four short double-helical elements and three loops (D, anti-codon, and T loops). Further hydrogen bonds mediate the characteristic L-shaped molecular structure. tRNAs have two regions of fundamental functional importance: the anti-codon, which is responsible for specific mRNA codon recognition, and the 3' end, to which the tRNAs corresponding amino acid is attached (by aminoacyl-tRNA synthetases). tRNAs cope with the degeneracy of the genetic code in two manners: having more than one tRNA (with a specific anti-codon) for a particular amino acid; and 'wobble' base-pairing, i.e. permitting non-standard base-pairing at the 3rd anti-codon position. Lineage: Eukaryota; Metazoa; Chordata; Mammalia; Rodentia; Sciuridae. RNAcentral also lists the same sequence under 1 other name. The record is from Rfam by way of RNAcentral.